This 171-nucleotide ribosomal RNA is filed under the name uncultured bacterium. RNAcentral's name for it is "partial 16S ribosomal RNA". It matches the Rfam family "Bacterial small subunit ribosomal RNA", at positions 796 to 944 of the family's 1533-position model. The record is from RNAcentral.
CACGCCGUAAACGUUGGGCGCUAGGUGUGGGGAACCUUCCACGUUCUCCGUGCCGUAGCUAACGCAUUAAGCGCCCCGCCUGGGGNAUGCAACGCGAAGAACCUUACCUAGGCUUGACAUAUACCGAAAACUCAUAGAGAUAUGGGGUCCGCAAGGGCGGUAUACAGGUGG